GGAACGGUCGCAUAGUUGGUCUAGUGCGCCACAUUGGAAAUGUGGUAUGCCCGCAAGGGCAUCGCGAGUUCGAAUCUCGCCCGUUCCGCCA
RNAcentral lists this transfer RNA (91 nucleotides) under Rickettsiales bacterium. RNAcentral's name for it is "tRNA-Ser". It matches the Rfam family "tRNA". From Rfam's summary of the family: Transfer RNA (tRNA) molecules are approximately 80 nucleotides in length. Their secondary structure includes four short double-helical elements and three loops (D, anti-codon, and T loops). Further hydrogen bonds mediate the characteristic L-shaped molecular structure. tRNAs have two regions of fundamental functional importance: the anti-codon, which is responsible for specific mRNA codon recognition, and the 3' end, to which the tRNAs corresponding amino acid is attached (by aminoacyl-tRNA synthetases). tRNAs cope with the degeneracy of the genetic code in two manners: having more than one tRNA (with a specific anti-codon) for a particular amino acid; and 'wobble' base-pairing, i.e. permitting non-standard base-pairing at the 3rd anti-codon position. Lineage: Bacteria; Pseudomonadati; Pseudomonadota; Alphaproteobacteria; Rickettsiales. The record is from RNAcentral.